ACGCACGCUGGCGGCGUGCUUAACACAUGCCAGUCGCACGGAAAGGCCCUGCUUUUGUGGGGUGCUCGAGUGGCGAACGGGUGAGUAACACGUGAGUAACCUGCCCUUGACUUUGGGAUAACUUCAGGAAACUGGGGCUAAUACCGGAUAGGAGCUCCUGCUGCAUGGUGGGGGUUGGAAAGUUUCGGCGGUUGGGGAUGGACUCGCGGCUUAUCAGCUUGUUGGUGGGGUAGUGGCUUACCAAGGCUUUGACGGGUAGCCGGCCUGAGAGGGUGACCGGCCACAUUGGGACUGAGAUACGGCCCAGACUCCUACGGGAGGCAGCAGUGGGGAAUAUUGCACAAUGGGCGGAAGUCUGAUGCAGCAACGCCGCGUGCGGGAUGACGGCCUUCGGGUUGUAAACCGCUUUCGCCUGUGACGAAGCGUGAGUGACGGUAAUGGGUAAAGAAGCACCGGCUAACUACGUG
RNAcentral lists this ribosomal RNA (467 nucleotides) under uncultured bacterium. Its description in RNAcentral is "partial 16S ribosomal RNA". It matches the Rfam family "Bacterial small subunit ribosomal RNA", at positions 29 to 507 of the family's 1533-position model. The record is from RNAcentral.